CCAGACUCCUACGGGAGGCAGCAGUGGGGGAUAUUGCACAAUGGGGGAAACCCUGAUGCAGCGACGCCGCGUGGGUGAAGAAGCGCCUCGGCGCGUAAAGCCCUGUCAGCAGGGAAGAAAAUGACGGUACCUGUCGAAUAAGCCACGGCUAACUACGUGCCAGCAGCCGCGGUAAUACGUAGGUGGCAAGCGUUGUCCGGAUUUACUGGGUGUAAAGGGCGUGUAGCCGGGCUUACAAGUCAGAUGUGAAAUCCGGGGGCUCAACCCCCGAACUGCAUUUGAAACUGUAGGUCUUGAGUAUCGGAGAGGCAGGCGGAAUUCCUAGUGUAGCGGUGAAAUGCGUAGAUAUUAGGAGGAACACCAGUGGCGAAGGCGGCCUGCUGGGCUUUUACUGACGCUGAGGCUCGAAAGUGUGGGGAGCAAACAGGAUUAGAUACCCCGGUACUG
RNAcentral lists this ribosomal RNA (447 nucleotides) under uncultured bacterium. Its description in RNAcentral is "bacterial SSU rRNA". It matches the Rfam family "Bacterial small subunit ribosomal RNA", at positions 331 to 793 of the family's 1533-position model. The record is from RNAcentral.